CUGCCUGGUGACCUUUGAGCAGAAAGUGCCAGAGUCUAUCCUGGAGUGGCUUCAGGCAGUGCUUCUCAGGCCCUUAGGUCCUUAUGAUCACUUGGAGUCUUGUGGAAAUGCAGUUCCACUUGGACAGACCUGGGGUGGUGAAGAGUCUACAUUUCUUACAAACUCCCAGGGGCUACAGAUGCUACUGAACUUAAGUAGCAGGACUCUAGGAAGGAUAGGCCAACUAUGUAGGCAGGGAGGACCUGGGGAGUGUGGAAGAAGAGUUUUGGUUGAGAGCUGAGUUUUUCUAGGGUCCAAAGCUGGACAUGACGAGCAGGUCAUCUCUUCAGACUAUCAAUGAUGAUGAUGAUGAUGAGGAUUUGCACUUUUGGCUUGCUGUUCUCCAGCAACUGUGUGCAAUUCAAGGGCGAGUUUCUUGAUUUAUUUUCAGCUGAAAGAUUUGUGCUAGAGUCUCCACUGUGGUGUGGCAUGGAGCUGAGGAACAGUUCUGAAGAUUAUUCCUUCCUUGUUUGGCCAGACAUCCAGCAUCCUUGGCAUUGCCCACUAGAUGCCAGUAGCAACCUCCCUGAUUACUGUGGCUGCCUCAGUCUGCUCUGGCUGCUAUAACAAAAUACCCGAGACCGAUGUGUAAUUUACACACAACAGAAAUGUAUUGCUCAUAGUCCUGGAGGCUGGGAAGUCCAAGAUCAACGUGCCAGGAGAUUCGGUGUCUGGUGAGGGCCCACUACUCAUAGAUGAAGCUUUCUAUGUGCCCUCUGGUGCCAGAGCAAAAAGAGACUCACAAGCUCCCUUGGGGCUCUUUUAUAAGGAAACCCAUCCCACUCAUGGGGAUGGCACCCUCAUGAUCUAAUCACCCAAAGGCCUUACCCUUUACUACCAUCACCUUGGUUAGGUUUCAGCAUACAAAUUUUGGAGGAACAUCAACAUUCAGACAAGAGCAGUGGCACUUGAAAAAUGCUCCUGAAGGGUGGUGCUGCCCUGGCUGAGAGUUGCUGAACUAGAUGUACCCCCUGUUGAGGGCAGGGACCAUGGUGUAGUUUCUAUAUCCUGAGUGGCUGGCAUCGUGCCUGGCAUGGUAUAGGAACUUGAUAAACGUGUCUUGCAUCAAAGAAAGGCAGCCUCUUGGGCACUAAGAGGAUGUCAUUGUGAAAAACCCCUGCUUCAGGAGUCAGAUUUGUGCCUCUGCUACACCCAGCCGCAUUGGCACCUGCUGAGGAUGGCAGCGUCCUGACCUGGAAGGAUGGUUGGGGAAGACGAGAGGCAGGAAAUAAUGGUGCCUUCUGAAGUCAGCUCUGUUUCCUUGGCUUUCCCCUAGGGCUCUGAACCUCCGUUUUCUUAUAAAAAGGCUGCUGAAUGUUUGAGUUUUCCACACAUCUGUCGGUUUUUGGGCCGAGCUGCUGAAGCAUAAGGCCUGUCUUGUUCAUUCUUAUGUCCUCGGGCCCUGACACAUAGUAGGUGUCUUGUGAAUGUUUGCUGAAAGAACUAUUUGAAUUCCUUAGGGAAGCUGGCUCUUCCUAGGAGCUCAGCAAUGGAUCCUUCGGUUUCACUGAAGACUGAGUUUGUAAUGUGAAUCCUUACCCCUCCAUUUAUUCAUGAAGUUAUUAGUUCAUUCAUUCAUUCAUUCAUUCAUUCAUUCAUUCAUUCAUUCAUUCAACAAAUAUUAACUGAGCACUUGCUAUGUCCCAGGCCCUGUGCUGAAGCAGGAGGAGGCAGGCUUUGUUCUUACCCUGGAGCUAAGGGUGUGCUGGGGUGAACAGACAUUAGUCCAACAGUCAGACAAGCAGUGGGAAAAUGACAGCCUAAUAAAUGCUUCUAGCAGAAGGUAUGUCCGUGGCCUGUGAAAGGCUGUGAGGUAGCCCGUGUCGGAUCUGCAUGGUCAUGGGCAAUGGAGGAUGGCAGGGAGCGUCCCUGAGGGGGUGGAGUUGGAGCUAAGAUCUGCAAGGAAGAGCUGGGCAUGGUGGCUCAUGUCUAUAAUCCCAGAACUUUGGGAGGCCGAGAUAGGCGGAUCAGAGUUGGAGACCAGCCUUGCCAACAUGGUGAAACCCUGUCUCUACUAAAAAUACAAGAAUUAGCUGGGUGUGGUUGUGCAUGCUUGUAAUCCCAGUUACUCAGGAGGAUGAGGCAGGAGAAUUGCUUGAACCUGGGAGGCAGAGGUUGUGGUGAGUUGAGAUUGUACCAUUGUACUACUUGGGAGACAGAGCCAGCCUCUCUAUAUAUAAAAAAAAAUCUGCAAAUCUAUAAGGAAGUGCUUAGGGCACUAAUAUUUUUUCUAAGCAUUAGAGGAUGAAUAAGUAAAUUUUAUUAAGGCUUUUAAAUAGUUGUUUUAUAAUUUAGUGUUUUUUAUUUUGGAUUAUGAGUAAGGUAAGUGCUUUUUUUUUUUUGAUAUGGAUUCUCACUCUGUUGCCCAGGUUGGAGUGCAGUGGUGUGAUCUUGGCUCACUACAACCUGUCUCCUGGAUUCAAGCAGUUCUCCUGCCUCAGCCUCCCAAAUAGCUGGGAUUACAGGUGUACACCGCCAUGCCCAGCUAAUUCUGUUGUAUUUUUAGUAGAGAUGGGGUUUCAUCAUGUUGGCCAGGCUGGUUUUGAACUCCUGACCUCAGGCGAUCCACCUACCUUGGCUUCCCAAAGUGCUGGGAUUAUCUGUGUGAGCCACUGCGCCUGGCAAAUGCUCCUUUGUGUAUAUAGGGUCUCCCCAUGUCUUGGCCCUGGGUCUGAGAUGUGUAAGAGGUAAGUGGGUGGAGGCUAGUGAGGAGAGUGCUGCAGACAGUGGGGAGAGCACGUGCAAAGGCCCUGGGGAAGCAGAGGCAACACAGGGAGUGGGGAGAUUGGCAGGGACAGGGGUAGGUACCCAGGGAGUGGUGAGAUAAGGGCAUGGCAUGGGGCUGGGGCCAGAUCACACAGGGCCUUGCAUGCCAUGGAAAGGGAUGGGGAUUUUAUUCUAAGCCCAUUGGGAAGCCAUUGGAAAAGGUGAGCCAAAGGGUGACAUGAUCUGAUGUGUGUUUGUAACAGAUCCCUCGGCUGCUGUGGAGAGCAUGGGCAGGUGUGUGGGUUGUCCUGGGGGUUUGUUUAUAGGUUUCUCCUUCCUGGCUGGAAGUUAUGGGUCCUGGGACCACCCGCCAUGUGAGGCCAAAGGUGCCCUUGGGUCAUCGGUGCCCAGGACCAUUAUCUCACUCUCGUCUGGGUUUCUGGACUUUCUCUUUUCUUUCUGGGUCAGGCAAACCUGGCCUUUUGAAGCCAGAUGGAGACAGAAGACCUUCGGGUGAUGUUUAGAUUUUUAAGUCACUGUGAAUCUCACUGAAGUGACCUAUUUUUCUUCCAUGUUGCUCUUGUAAUUUUUAUGAAUGGAUGAUAAAAAAUGUGGCAGGGUCAUUUGUUUUAAUUUCCUUCUGACACCUGGAUUCUGCGUUUGGUGGCAGCCAUCCCACCAGUGGCUGGAAGUCUGCCUCCAGGCAGUGGGGUGGCCCUGGGCCCAGCUCACACCUGGCUCUGUUGUGGAUGGUGGGGCAGCAUGCCCUGGCCCCCAUAAGGCAGCGAACCCCCUUUAGAGCAUAGGACUGGAGGGUCAGUGCUGGUGCCCAGGGAUGGGACUGGUUCUAGUGUGUCUGUCUAAUCAGCCAGGCAGCUGGUUGGGGUGAGAACUUGAAGCCUCUAUCCUUCUGGGACUACAGUCCUGCCCAUAUUAUGGAGGGUCCAAUUGUUAGAUGGAAACUAGUUCUUCAGGUCAAACUGGCCUCACCUUUGAUGGGGAGUGGUGAGGGGUCAGUUCUGAGAGAUGACAGCCUCCAAUGCCCAUGAAACCAAAAUUCACCUUUUUUCCUAGGGUGGCCAUUCAUGGUUAUGUCUAUCCCUGUUUUCCAGGCUGUAUCACCACUCUCCACCUUGCCCUUGCCCUUGAAGUAUAUGGUGCCCUUGCCCACGCUGUUCUCCCUGCAUGGGACACCUCCCUGCAGUAUGCUUCCCUGUAAAGCCACUCUGUCCUCGGGUCUUCCCAGCAGCCUUCCCUGACCUCUACACAGAUGGUCGUCCACGUGCCUUCUCUGGGGCUCUCAGGAGCACUGGAGCACUUGGACACUCCCUUGUUUCUCAAAAUACAUUUUUCUUAUUUUAUGUUUGCUAUAUAAAUUUACUGUGGGGCUGGGCGCAGUGGCUCAUACCUGUAAUCCCAGCACUUUGAGAUGCCAAGGUGGGUGGGCAGAUCACAAGGUCAGGAGUUUGAGACCAGCCCAGCCAACAUGGCAAAACCCUGUCUUUACUAAAAAGACAAAAAUUAGCUGGGCGUGGUGGUGGGCACCUGUAAUCCCAGCUACUUGGGAGGCUGAGGCAGGAGAAUUGCUUGAACCUGGGAGGUGGAGGUUGCAGUGAGCCUAGAUUGCGCCACUGCAUUGCAGCCUGGGCUAUGAGAGUGAAACUCCAUCUCAAAAUAAUAAUAAGAUCAACUCACUGUGGAAAGUCUAUUAAGUAAGGAGAAGUGAAAGAGGAAAAUGAAGUUAUAACGUGGAGAUCCAGAGAGUCGUUCUGGCAUUCGUCUGUCCACAUUCUCAUUCUGCAAUCUGCUUUGUUUUUGUUUACCUGUAGGUUGUAAACAGCGUAUCACAUUAUUUAAUAUUGUCCGAAGGCCUCCUUUUAAUCAGCUUCAUAGUGUUCCAUUGUGAGGCUGUGCUUGGGUGUGUGUUACAGCACCCUAUAGUCAGACAGGGGGCAUGCCCUGUCCCAGUGAUCGCCUUGCUGUGACCACGGGCAUGCUUUGUGAAGGGCUGAGACCUUGACUUUGUUGAAUAAAUGAAUUCUCCUGCAUUCUUAUCUGCCUCCUGAUGUACCAGAUAAGCCUGUAUUUAAGGCCUUCUUCUUCUCCCAUCCCAGGUGCCUUCCCACCUUUUUCCCAGAAAGAAGACCUGACAUCUUACUCUGCUAUCAUUUAACCUUUAAAAGUGCAGGCCAAUAGCGCAGGUGGCGAAGAGACUAGAAGGGCUGGGCAGGUGUGGGUGCACAGGGUGGCCUCCUGGAGGUGGCAGUGUUGGCACCAGCUCAUAAGUGGCUUCCAGGCCAGAAGGGAGCCCAGCUAGGUGGGCUGCUGAUGAGCAGGAGGGACUCCAGUUGGAAGUGGAGGUCCCUUGAAGCUGGGAACUUUUCAUGCCUGGUUCUAAGCUCUAGCAGCCAUAUUUGAAGGCCCACAGUGCAGCCGAGGUGGCGUUGUGGUCUUUGGAUAUCUGGUGUGUGUGCGCUUUGCACAGCGGUUACAUGGGAGUGGAAUUCUGUCCUGUGUGUGUAAUGAGACACAAACCUUCAUACUUCCUCCAGACCUAUUGGAAGCUGGGAACAAAGCCUUCAUUUCUUCAAGCAUGCAUGAAGGGAUGCUUGUUCACUGCAUCUUGCUCCGCAUCAGGCUCUGUGAUGAUUCCUGCCCUCACUGAGCUCAGAGUCUUGCGGGUGAGGGUACAGCCAUCCCAGUUUGCUCAUGACUUACUGACUAAUGGGUGUCCCCGUAUGUAGCAUUUUUAGGUCUAAAAUUGGGAAAGUCCUAGACAAAUUGAGACAAGUCACUGGGUUACUGUCAUCUAAGGAGAAAGUGGUGAGAACGCUGCGGGCAGGACUGAGGGACCCAGAGGAUGGAAGACGUAUCUGGAUUUCUGGUUACAGGUGUGGCAAGUUUAGUGGGAGUUUUCGAGGCGUGUCAUGGAGUGGGGUUGAGAUCCCUAGAAGGGGUUCUAGCGAAGAUUCUUCCCUUCUCCUUUUCAGUUCUUCAUGCUCUUGCUCCUGUGUUCCCCCUCUGGCCAUGGUGUAGCCAAGGUGUUUCAGAGGGAAAGUGGAUCCCUGGGACCUGGACUCAGUCACCCUUUCUGCGUCCAGGCCUUCUUUGAAGAACAGGGUUCCCCAAAGUCUGCUCUGAAGGGGAAACCCGCCCUUCCUCCCUGGCACCGAAUAGCGUCUACUGGGGUAGACUUCAGUAGCUUCAUUCAUGGCCUGGGUGCAUCACUCAUCCAUUUCUUCACUCACCUCUUCACUCAACUCAGGGCUCCUGUUCAUCUCUUACUUGCAAAGCACUGGGCUGGGCACAAGCUGGUGAUGCAUUGGGUUCAGGGCGGGGCAUAGAGGAACUGGGAGAUAAACAACCCCUGCCAGCCUAGUGAGUUGGGGCGACCUAGGAGCCAGCCAGCUCCAGAAGCCUUAGCGGCAUCUCACCCAGGCAGCCAGUAGGAAGGAAUCCAUAACGUCAUCAGAACCGGAUCCACCCCUGCUGGGUCAGCCCCAGGCUGACCCCAGGGGGCUGCCCUGCUGGGCGCCUCUCUAGAGCCUUUGUACCAGAAGUCUGUCAGGGACCUUGGGAGAGUAGAAUCAUGCACCCUUCUCUAGGAAGAGCCAUUUGUCCAUUGAAAUGCAAUUUUCUCCUGAAAGGACGAAAAAGACAAGAAGGGCCACCAGGGUGAGGAUGGGAUUUAGGUCCCAGCUCCAGAGUAAGUAAAUAUCCAGCAUUCAGGUACAGUCUUUGAAAACUGUAGGGCUGGGUGGAUGGUUUCCCUGCCCCAGGAAAGCCCCACUCCAUCCCUGAUUCUAAAUGCCGUGUGCCUAAAAAUUAAAUUGAGUCAGAAAUGAUUUUAACUUCAUGUGCUUUAAAAAAAUUCAGUGAAGGAAAACCCCAAGCUGACGUCAUGGAUAGAGUACAGUUCAAAGAGAAUAAAUUUUUUCAAAAAAAGAAAUUUCUAGAGGAGAUUUCUUUGUGUGUUCGAGAGGCCACAACGUGGUUGAGCAGGUCGCCUCCCUUGUCCUGAUGCACCUGUGGGGAAGUCCUAGCAGCAACUGCAGAGCCCAGAAGGGAGGAGGGCCCAGCGCUGGAAUGAGGGCGUGUGCAUGCUUGCGCGAGAGUGUGUUGGUGCAUGUGUUCGUAUCAACACAUGCACACAUUUAUCAAAUUACAUCUGCUUUUACCUUUAAAAUUUUAUGAACAUGAGCAUAUGGUGCAUUAUCCUGCCAUGGAGUGUGUGUGUGUGUGCGUGCGCGCGUGUGUGUGUGUGUGCACAGGCAGGUCUGCUUGGCACUCACUCCUCCAGCACACAUGGGUCUGUGGGAACUCCUUUGCAGAUGAGAACCUGGAAGUGUGUGGGGCUGUGGGUGAGCCAGCCUCCCCAGGGCCCCAGCCUGGCCCUUGGCCCACCAGGCCAUGAAUACAUUUCCAUCCAUCUCUGGCCCCCAUCACCUAGGCAGCUAAUUCCUCGGAGCCUCUCAGCCUUAUUAAAGUCACAGAUCACUUUCUUGAGCUUAACGCUGUCAAGACGAAGCGUGCCCCUUGUUCCGACCCCCUCCCGCCAUCCAGCCUCUCCUCAAGGGCUGGGGGUGGAGAUGAGGGUCCUGCCAGCCCCCCGCUCCUGCCCUUUCCCCUCCUCGAUUUGAUCUGCACGACGCCUUGCAGUGAUCAGUGAGGUCACCUCAAGAUUCCUUCAGUAAAGCCCUUGGCAGGGAUACAAGGGCCGUCACAGCUGUGCUGCACAAACCAGCUUCCAAAGGCGAGGAUGGGGCUGGCCCAUUCGAAGUGACUCCUCGGCGGAGGGGUGCAAGGCUCGCUGCUGAUUUGGAGAACACUUCUCCCGUCCCCGGCUGCCUUGGCCUCCCCUGUUAUGAAAUACGGAUGGUACCGGUUCCAGCGUUUGGAGACUCGCUGGCAGUGUGAGCGUCUCCAAAGGCCCGCCUUGUGCAUGCACCUAAACACUUCACUGAGCAAUCUGUCAACAUGUCAGCAACACAUGUUUUGUAAAAAGCUUCCAGUGGGAGUAAUGACUCCCACCAGGACUUCCAAAAUGCUUUGAAUUCAGCAGAUUUCUAUUGCGGGCAUCCCCUGGGGUGCCUUUUACAAUGCCUACAUUUCAGAAAUUUGAGCCACAGACCCCUGGGGGUUUCCUUUCAUAAUGCCUCAAAAUGUAGGGUUAUAUUGUUGGAAGUCCCCAUGGGGUCUUUAUUAAUACCUGAAUUCUGAGGAACUGGAAAUUACACAGGGCACUGCAGGGGCCCAGAUCCACACCAGGAAGAAGAGAAAAACUCUGUGGGGAGAUUUUUUUUCUUCAUGCAAGAGUGAAAGAGAAGAAUUUGCUAAAGGACAAAAUUGAGUGUGUUUGAGCUUCCUUCAUUUAAUCUGCCUUCUAGAACGCUACAGUAAAUUCUGCAAUGGGGAAGGGGGGAAAUGACUUUUCUAUUUUUAAAUCUCACUUUGAUAUUUUAGGGGCCAGAGUAUGCUCUCUUUACACACCCAGUGUCGAGGGGGUAUUGUUUAAAAAUAAAUUAUUUUUCUUUUUGGUAAUUGAAAACACCUCUGCCGUGCCCCUCUCCCGGGUCUCCCCUCUUCCUUAGAGCUGUUAAGCUCCUGUAGCGCGCUGCUGUCUCAUUAUCAUUAACCAUUUGGGGUCGGUUUGAGAUAUUGGCCCACUUGCUCCCCUCCCCUCCCCUCUACUCCUCUGCCCUCCCCUCUGCGCAUUAAAGAUGAGAAAAUCAACCUUGGAGAUGGUCCAAUCUCCCGUGCGAACUGGUUUCAAACCCUUGCUGCCGGUUGGGGCCGUCAGAAUAGGAAAUAUCAAGGCUGCCUGCUACUUUUUUUGCAAGCAUUUUGCUGCAGUAGUCUUGAAAAGACAGAGGGGCGCCUUCCUGUCCCCCACCCUACACACACGCGUGCCCAUGCACGCACACGCACACGCACACACACACACACACACACACACGCGUGCCCAUGCACGCACACGCACACACACCAGUUUCCACGGGUGAGUCAUCUCAGCCUCUACCACCUGCAUAGUCACCUUCAGUUCUGUUUUUUUAAAAGUUACAAGACUUAAAAAUGUUAAGCCUUAGGGUUAAUUUAAGCUGCCUUUUUUCCUUCUAAAUCUGGCACUUACUAGCUUGCUGAAAAGAGACCUCUCUAUUUCUAUUACAAUCUCAUUGACUGGGACAAGAAAAUAACAUUGAGAGAGCUAACUUACAGCAGCCAAGGCCAAGAAAUUCUAAGUUGCUGAUAAGACCCUCCUCCCUUUUCCUCCCUCCUCCCUCCUCCCUCCUCCCUCCUCUCUCCUCUCUCCUCCCUCCUCCUGCCUCCUGCCUCCUGCCUCCUCCCUCCUCCCUCAUCCUGCCUCCUCCCUCCUUUCUGCCAGAGUGACUGGAUCACACAGGGGAUUCUGGAACUCACAUUUUCCCCCCUUGGUGAGACUCCCAGACGGUGUUCAACCAUCUGUGGUCCCGUGGGCCCAGCAGAGGGGGCCUGAGGAGGGGGGUUUGCCCAUCAGGAGCUGGUUGGGUCAGAUGCUCACAGAGAUCCUCUGCACCCACCCCGAGCAGGCUGAUUAAUUAAGCAAUUGCAUCAUUGAUUCAAGGUUUGUGAUUUGGUGCCAGGGCGCUGGCGGCUGCGUUCCUGAGCAUUGCUUCCCCUCCCUGGGCUGUGAGUUGCAGGAUCCCUUUCCUUUCUCCAGCCUGAUUUUCCUCCCGGGUGCCAACCCUGGAAGUUCCGCCAGGAAAGGAACAGCCCCCUUGCAUUCCAGCUGCCCUUCCGCCCCAGUCAGGAAGCACUGUGCCUCCUGGGGUGUCGUGAUGGGUGGGGCUGUGGGCCCUGAGCAGACCUCAGGAGGGGACUUUUCUGCUCCCAGCAGGCCCUGUGGGCUUCAGCAGGGGCUCGGAGACAGAGAGGGCAGGGAGCCCUGUGGCGCUGAUUUGACAUUUUUAGCUGAAGACCUUUGUUCAGACCAAUUUCCAAGUAGCUUGGGGUUGGAGUGUGUUCUGCUUUUUUUUUUUUUUCCUUUUUUUCUUCUUUUUUUGAAAUCCUGGGCCUCUUUUUCCUUUUUCUUUCAAAGCGAUGAAAUAGAAUUUGACCCUGGGAAUCCCAUUCUUGCCAUCUCUUUCCCCAAGCCACCCUCUUCUGCUUGACCAAGGAGGCCUGGAUUUCCCGGCAGCCUCUGGGGCUCAGAUGGUCUUUGGCUUUGAAACCCUGCUUCCAGCCCAGCCCCUCGAUCCUGUCUUCUGAGGGCUGCAGACUCCCCUGGGAGGCUGAUAUCCUGGCCUGGGGCCCUGGCUCGGGAGGUGCUGUGGGGUGGGGUCCACUGUUUUCCUGUCCUCCUCCCUCUUGGAGACUUUGGCCCUCACUUGGCCUCAGGGUCAGUGGGUGGAAGAGCCAUAAGAUAAAAAUUUAGCCCACUUCCCAAGAACACAGACUUUUCCAAAGGAGGCCCAAACCAGGCAGCCAGAGCCCCUUCAGUUUUCAUCCAGUGGGGGUGGCAUGGUAAGAGCACUCAAAAAUAAGUCAAAACCAAAAACACCAAAACAAUGAAAAGCCAGACAAUAAAAAUUUCCUUUCCCUUGUGAGCCUCAAAGUAAACAAUGAAGAUACCACCUUUGGGAAAGAGGGCGCGACAAACUUAGAUUCAUUUGAAAACCCAUCCUAUUUGCCAAAUCAGAUGGUAAACCUCCUUCUAGCAUCAAAAUCCAUGCGGUUCCAGGGAAGAACGGGGGUGGGGGAGCGAUGUUGGGGGAGCCCUGGAGCCCCCAAACAGAUGUCCAGGGUGGUGAGGCCAGAAAGCCUCCACAGAGCAGUGAUUUAUUUUAUUUUUUAGACGAUGUUUUGGCCACAUUUAUUUAUUUAUUUCCAAAGGGCUAUUUUUGGCGUCUGCCUGGGCUCCUUUGUAGCAAAGCCCCCUUUUCUAGAAUUUCCUUUCCUUUAUUAGAGUUACAGCUCAGCUUUGUGCGGCCCCCGGGGGAGCCGGCCAGCCGCUGGCAAUUUCUCUCAGACACCCAAUUACCCCCUGACGUCAGUGCCGCCUCGCCCAGCUCCCCUGGGUGCUUCCAUUUUUCCCUUUGUAACACUAAUAGCUGACUAGCUAAGUGCCUGUCGGCUCCUUGGCAGAGGAGUUGAUUGUGUUUUCGGCUGGAUACUAAAUCCAAAAACUAUGUAAAAAUGUCAAUAGGUGAGUGCACAUUGAUUUUGGUUAGUCACAGUGAUAUUUGAGCCCCUUCGGGGACUCUGUCUGGGGAAGUAUUUUACAAGAAAGAUAAUAUAACAGAAAAUUACUGGAGCUCCGCGGGUCUCUGGUGGGUUUCUUAGGGGCCUGCUAAAUUGCUGUAGAAUCAACAAAUGCUUUAUUAAUCUAAAUUUGUGGUUUUGUUCUUUCUUCUCUUCAGAAGGUUGGAGUUUUAAUGACGCAGGCGGCUCCGGCAGCCAGGCUGGGCGGCGCGGCCUGCACCUUGGCUGAUGGGCUGGGGUACCCUGGCUGGUAAUGAACUCUCAGAGGGCAGGGCGGCUGUGUUCCCAGCCGGCUUCCUGGGGAAUGUGGAGCAGGCGCUGGGCCCACCGCUUGCCAGGCCGAGGUCUGUGCUAGCAGAUAAAGUGAGGGGCUGAGGGCCUGGAACAGCUGUGGCGGGCCAGGCUGACUGGGAGAGGCUGAUAAGAGCCCAGAAGGAGCCCAGGCGGGCGGCGUGGCAGCGCCAGAAAUCUGACGGGGUAUCACGACUGGCAAAGAAAGUUAAACACGGCCGGAUCCGGGGGAUGGUUGGCGGACCUGCGGAGAAAGAUAAUGGCAUUGCUACCGGACAAUGGGCUAACCAGGCUGAUUCGAGUCGCUGCAGGCUCAUGCCGCCUGCCUACACUGUAGGUGAGGCUUUCAGCCGGGCUUUUGUUGAGUCACCGACAACGUGCACACGCUGGGACACACCUGCUUGCAGAAACUCGCGUGAACACAGAACUCCAGCACUCCCGCCCAUCCCACUGCAUGGCCGGGGGUGCUGCUUCCUGGGCCAGUCCAGUCAUGCCCCAGGGAGCCCCUGUGUUGGCUCCAGGAUCUUAAGCAAAUAAAACACUCUAAAAAAUUU
This is a non-coding RNA of Callithrix jacchus (white-tufted-ear marmoset), 11828 nucleotides long. NCBI's taxonomy places the organism in Eukaryota, Metazoa, Chordata, Mammalia, Primates, Cebidae. The record is from RefSeq and is a predicted model, not a curated record.